This 253-nucleotide ribosomal RNA is filed under the name uncultured bacterium. Its description in RNAcentral is "partial 16S ribosomal RNA". It matches the Rfam family "Bacterial small subunit ribosomal RNA", at positions 524 to 776 of the family's 1533-position model. The record is from RNAcentral.
UACGAAGGGGGCUAGCGUUGCUCGGAAUCACUGGGCGUGAAGGGUGCGUAGGCGGGUCUUUAAGUCAGGGGUGAAAUCCUGGAGCUCAACUCCAGAACUGCCUUUGAUACUGAGGAUCUUGAGUCCGGGAGAGGUGAGUGGAACUGCGAGUGUAGAGGUGAAAUUCGUAGAUAUUCGCAAGAACACCAGUGGCGAAGGCGGCUCACUGGCCCGGUACUGACGCUGAGGCACGAAAGCGUGGGGAGCAAACAGG